UCGUCAUGGCACUCCUGCGACCAACGGCGAAUCUAAGGUACGGCCAUGUACUGCCCACCAAGUUUUCCCUCAAACCCAAGCCAAUCUCAUGUACCAACGGCGCAUGUUCUUAGCGCGCGAUCCGUCCUUGCCGUCAUCCAAUUCGCAGCUGCUGCCGAUGUAACCAGCGGGCCACGCCCAAAAUACCUGCCUCACAAAUCUACUUUGCUAAAUUGACCAUCUACCUCCACAGUACUAUGCAUGUAAACGGCGUCCGAAUUGACAUGACGAGUCAGAGAGGAAAGCAGGGCAGGACCUGAGCACGCUUACUAAUAGGACUGGAUGGAUACUGCUGCGGUGCUGCCACAGAUUUCAUUCUAGGUAUGACUACAUCUAUUUUUUCUUUGUAAAAGAAAGAAGAUCAGGCUCUUCAACUGUUCAUUAACGCACGAUUAAGCUCGCAAAGUAGCACCCAAUCUCAAUAUUUACUCGUCCACUUAUUAAUAUUACAUGCAAGGUAAUGAUCGGGCCUCUCUAUACUAUGCAAAUUGAUAUGCUUGAACAGCAACAAAGUGCAGCAAUUAAUUUAACAUAACAUAUAUUAACUACAAACAUAUAAGAGAUUGUAAAUCAAGUUGACUAUCAUGCACUAUAUACAAGACUUAUACUAUUGUACGUAUUAACUUAGUCUGCAUGGCUUGCAGUGCACUUGCUGCAACCAGAGUAUGUAUAUGGUUUCUUCUGUAUUGCCAUGUUGGCUUUGAAACUGAGCAGAAUUAUUUAAUUUGCUUAUUAAUAUUAUUUAUUUAUUUAUAUUUUGCAGAUUGGUGCUUCUUUUCCUUUUCUAAAAUAAAAGUUGAUCUUUGAGUUAUGUUAGUCAAAUAUGAUUAUUAUGCCAGACUAUAUCAUCAGCAAGGUGUUUUUAGUACCAAAUGAUGAAUAUUUCAACCAUUAUUUGGCGGUAAUUUAGAUGCUUUCCCUUACUUUCCAAAAAUAAUAUAGGUGCUUCUGUUACAAUUGGGAGUUGAUGUAUUGUUAUCUCAGUAUGGUGGCCAAUACAAAUUAUAUUCUAUAUUCAUAUGCACUUUCAGACCAGAUAAAGCGUAAUUGUAUUAUCUUUUGACUCUCUUCGUGGUAACAUGGUAUCUCGAUGUAUCCUCUUACAUGAGAAAUAUUUUAAUAUUAGAAGUUUGCCUUUUCAACUAAAAAAGGAUAUUAGUAUUUGUGGGUAUCAUGAGUUCAGGAUACGGUGCUCCUAUAGACGCAUUUUUUGGGGUACUAUUCCGCAUUAAAAGUCAGGAACGUGUUCUAUUCUGCCUAUUGUAUGUAUGAACGAUGGAAAGACCAAACGGUUUUGUUUUGCAAAUUCCAUACGGGAAGGGAAAGAACAAACUAUAUAAAAGGAUUAACCUGUGAUGUACUACUACUUUUCAGUACUAUGUACUCAUGAAAUACACUCCAAGGAAACAAAGCGCCUACAAGUUGUCCCUCUAAAAUUAAGGUACUCAUGUAGCCAUUCCACGAUAAAUUAGUUACUCUUUUAGCAAUUUCAAUAUAAAUUUGUUGGUUUUGCCCAAUAAGAUGUUCCUAGAAAGCUAGAACAGUACACACACUAUCGAUUUGCAACCAUGCUUUUUUGGGUCCAGAGUUUCAACUCUCACUUUUGUUCGUUGCCCACAAAAUAUUUACUCAUCAUUAUUUAUGUCACUAUGCAUCACAAAAAACAUAUGUUAUAUUGUAUUUGCAGCACGCAAAUUAUCAUGGUUUGUUUUCAGUUUAAAAGAAAUUAAGUGUUUACUUGAGCUAAUUAGCACGUGUACCAGUUAGGUAUGUGGCAUGCAAGCAGAGGAGAGGAUGAACUUGAGAAUUACCAAUUCGGCCUCAUAUUUGAUCUGAUAAGGUAAGUUUCUUCAUAGCUUUUGUCCCUGGAUGUGAAACUAUAUGUGCCAUCAAGCAUACUUUUAUUUUCUAUGGUCAUAUCGAUGCUUUAAAACUUAGGCCUAAUAUAUUGCAAAUUCUAAAGACAUACGAAUAUUCUUGCGUAUGGUCUGUAAAUCUAAGAAAUUUCGCACCAAUCCUUUUUGGUGUCUUCUCCUAACCACAUCAGACCAAGGCCACCGUCAUGAGAAUAAGUGUGCAUUGUACAAGGCUUCUGUUGAAGCUAACUAUUGAUGUCAUAUUGAAGCUAACUAUUUUGGAUCACCAUAGUAGUUAUUCCCAGCUAACAAUGUGAAACACAAAAUGUUAGUCUGUGCAUGGGUUCAUGACUAGUAUGAAAAGUAGAAUCACCUUACUAGCCUUUUUACAAUGUUUGAAGAAAAUUCUGCCUGCUAUGUAGCAAAGGCUGGGAGGUUGAUCCUUGCAUUGUUGAAGAACGAUAUAAUUGUCAAUUAUAUUGUACGACGAUAGGGAUUAAAUCGCAAAUCCGAUAUUCAUAUGCUAAGAUUAUGCAAUUCAUUCAUGGUUACAUCGGCAGUAAUAUUUGUUAUUUUUAUGAAGUGUGCAAUGUAUAUAGAAUUCAAAAAAUUACUAAUGUGAUUUCCUAGAGAAAGUAAAUAUUAGUCAGCUUUUGUAGAUGAAUUUCUGGAUCGAGUUUGCAUACAGAGAUAUAUCAGCAUAUACAAUGACUAAUAUUCUGUCUCUACAACUACUUGCAUAUGUUAAUGCACUGUGUGUUAACAGUUCAUUUUGAUUUUUUUGUUUAUAGAUGCAAAAAAUAAAUGGAUGAUUAUAUGGGUGUGUGAAGAUCAUGAUGCUCCUGUCCAUGAUGAUGAUGAUGAUGAUGAUGAUGAUGAUGGAUGCUUUUAUUGUUCGUUAAGUUGUAGGGAUGUUCAUUUUGGGUGAUGGGUGAUGUUCCUCAGUUAAGUUUUAGAUAAGUUGUAGGGAUGUUGAUGGAUACUUUCGGUUGAACUUUCGAUGUGUCGAAAAUAUUUAGAUUAUGCAUCAGAUUGGGAUGAUGUUCCUCUUGUAAUAUCCAAUAUUGUAACCCACAAUUUUAUCAAAUAUAUGAUUUCUUCAUUAUAUGUGAGUAAUAUUCUCUUAGUUUUUCUUCACUUG
Molecule: long non-coding RNA, 3036 nt
Filed under: Triticum aestivum (bread wheat)
Lineage: Eukaryota; Viridiplantae; Streptophyta; Magnoliopsida; Poales; Poaceae
Description: long non-coding RNA (TAES_LNC007646)
Source: RNAcentral